UACGUAGGGUGCAAGCGUUAAUCGGAAUUACUGGGCGUAAAGCGUGCGCAGGCGGUGAUGUAAGACAGUUGUGAAAUCCCCGGGCUCAACCUGGGAACUGCAUCUGUGACUGCAUCGCUGGAGUGCGGCAGAGGGGGAUGGAAUUCCGCGUGUAGCAGUGAAAUGCGUAGAUACGCGGAGGAACACCGAUGGCGAAGGCAAUCCCCUGGGCCUGCACUGACGCUCAUGCACGAAAGCGUGGGGAGCAAACAGG
This 253-nucleotide ribosomal RNA is filed under the name uncultured bacterium. RNAcentral describes it as "partial 16S ribosomal RNA". It matches the Rfam family "Bacterial small subunit ribosomal RNA", at positions 524 to 776 of the family's 1533-position model. The record is from RNAcentral.